Danio rerio (zebrafish) is the source of this 1085-nucleotide non-coding RNA. NCBI's taxonomy places the organism in Eukaryota, Metazoa, Chordata, Actinopteri, Cypriniformes, Danionidae. The record is from RefSeq and is a predicted model, not a curated record.
AAACAUAUUCUCCGUACAUAAACAUAAACAAACGCGCGACCUUUGAGGUAACUAAUAUGGCGUUUGAUGAUUUUGUUGACAGGAACUCUCAAGCAAAACUUAAAGGCAUAUUUUUAGUUACCCAAGUUUGGUCUAAUACGCUCUGGGAUACUUACAUCUACUAUUAGUCAAAGUAUGCGUGUCGAGUACUGAAAAGCGAAGCAAAAUCUUCGCCCCCUUGUGACUGGCUAUGGAAACGGUUUCUGUCACUCAGGUCUAUUAUGAGAUCACAUCAAAGAAAACUGGGAUUGGACUCAUUAUGACGCAUGAUGAACUGAUAACCACAACUGACUCAUACUUAUUAUAGUUAUGUAUCCGAUCUUCGGUGGACAUUCUGUUUAUUUUCUGAAUCUCUGAGGCUCCCUGUAAUCAACAUUAGUGUUUAAAUCAUGUUCAGCAGUUACAAAUUCACUAUUCUCGACACAUAUAUUAGUUGAUUUUAUGUGUGUUUAGACGUGUCUCUAGGGAGACCAACCUAGUGGGUAUCAUAAACCCUUUUUAUUUUUGUAAAAUAAGUUUAUUUUAGAGUCUAUUAACUUCCUCUUUUUGCAUCAUUUAACAUUAUUGUCACUUUUGAUGGGUAUCUUGUUUCCAGCUGUCUGUUUCUCACCUCUGCUGAGCAUAUAUGCUUGCCGUAUUUCCGAUGGAAACAAAGAUACAAAGAGCAACUCUUGUUGUGUUUAGCUAGAGGGAUGAAACUAGCGCAAGGCAAGGUAAUAGAGCCUAAAGUGCCAACAGAAAAGUGGUUUUAGACUGCAUGAAACAAGUUAAUAAUUAGUCUUUUACAUUUUUUAUUUUAUAUUUAAACAGUGUCUAUUUUCACCCUCAAAUGCAAGGCCUCAUGCUGUGUUAAGAUUGCAGUUUUGUUAGCAAAUCCAAAAACAAGUCUGAAGUCCAAAGGAUGAGGUGUCAUACUCAAAACUAAUAUGCCAUUGGCCAAGCCACCAAAAUUGCUACUAUCGUUCAUUUUAAUUAAUUUAGUAUCAUCAACAUUAAUAUGGUAAUGUCGUUUUCUAUAUGAUUGCAAAAAAAAAAAAAAAAAAAAA